CCUACGGGAGGCAGCAGUAGGGAAUCUUUCACAAUGGGCGAAAGCCUGAUGGAGCAACGCCGCGUGCAGGAUGAAGGCCUUCGGGUUGUAAACUGCUUUUAUAAGCGAGAAAUAUGAUGGUAACUUAUGAAUAAGGAUCGGCUAACUACGUGCCAGCAGCCGCGGUCAUACGUAGGAUCCGAGCAUUAUCCGGGGUGACUGGGUGUAAAGAGUUGCGUAGGUGGCAUAAUAAGUAGCUAGUGAAAUCUGGUGGCUCAACCAUUCAGACUAUUAGCUAAACUGUUAAGCUCGAGACCGAUAGGGGUAACUGGAAUUUCUAGUGUAGGAGUGAAAUCCGUAGAUAUUAGAAGGAACACCAAUAGCGUAGGCAGGUUGCUGGGACGGUUCUGACACUAAGGCACGAAAGCGUAGGGAGCAAACGGGAUUAGAUACCCCUGUAGUC
This 442-nucleotide ribosomal RNA is filed under the name uncultured bacterium. RNAcentral's name for it is "partial 16S ribosomal RNA". It matches the Rfam family "Bacterial small subunit ribosomal RNA", at positions 338 to 795 of the family's 1533-position model. The record is from RNAcentral.